RNAcentral lists this ribosomal RNA (168 nucleotides) under Triticum aestivum (bread wheat). RNAcentral's name for it is "partial small subunit ribosomal RNA". Lineage: Eukaryota; Viridiplantae; Streptophyta; Magnoliopsida; Poales; Poaceae. The record is from RNAcentral.
AUGGAUCUCCCCGACGAGCUCCUCGACCAAGUCCUCGGGCACGUCCCUCCGCGGCAGCUCGCCGCCUGCCGCUGCGUCUGCAAGAGCUGGCGGGCCGUCGUAGAUGGCCGCGGGCUGCUGCGCGCCUACCUUGCGCCGCGCCCACUGCGUGGCAUCUUCAUCAAUUUC